UCAUCCAGCCAGGAAGUAGACAAUUAUUCCUUAGCUGCCACUGUGGAAGGAUUCCAGUGCAAAAGUAUUGAAUUUGAAGUCUCCCUUAGCAGCUGCUGAGAAUUAUAGUAAAUUCUUCCCUAAUUUACCACCCAAGGAGAAAAGAUUUUUGUCUAAAGUUGGAUGGUACAGGAAUAAAUGGCUCCUAAGUAGCAACUUGUUGGCAAGAAAGGAGGGGAAAAAAACCCUUGGGACUGUUGACACUUGGACCAACAUAUUAGGGCACUUGGACCUACAUAAUCCCAGCUACCAAAAGAAGCUAGGUUGGACUUCUGGAUGGGAGAUUGGACUCAGGAGUAGUGUGAGACCUUAGAAUGGAGCAAAAUCCACAAGAGAAGUGUUGAAGGUAUUCUUCUCUUCUUAUGUUGGAACAAUUGGCUCAUUCCAGCAACCAGGAUGGCAGGAAUUCUCCCAUCUGUAAGGAAAAGGUCACUGAAUCCUUCCCCAAGAAGUCUGUCAAUUGGAGAAUCUCUACCUAAAUCAUAAUCACUGUCUCCUGCUUCACUAUCACCACGGCCACUAUCUUUCAAGCUAAAUUUAUCCAUAUCUUGUAGGGCGUAUCUGUAAACAGAAAAAUAUGGUGAUGGAAUUAUAUUUUGUUAUCGCAUGUUCAGUAUGUUGUUCUCAGAUAAAAAUGUUUUGAUCAGAAUCUAA
Molecule: long non-coding RNA, 693 nt
Organism: Mauremys reevesii (Reeves's turtle)
Lineage: Eukaryota; Metazoa; Chordata; Testudines; Geoemydidae
Exons: 3
Source: RefSeq, a predicted model, not a curated record